This 465-nucleotide ribosomal RNA is filed under the name uncultured Acidovorax sp. RNAcentral describes it as "bacterial SSU rRNA". It matches the Rfam family "Bacterial small subunit ribosomal RNA", at positions 917 to 1381 of the family's 1533-position model. Lineage: Bacteria; Pseudomonadati; Pseudomonadota; Betaproteobacteria; Burkholderiales; Comamonadaceae. The record is from RNAcentral.
GACGGGACCGCACAAGCGGUGGAUGAUGUGGUUAAUUCGAUACAACGCGAAAACCUUACCACCUUUGACAUGUACGGAAUCCUUUAGAGAUAGAGGAGUGCUCGAAAGAGAGCCGUAACACAGGUGCUGCAUGGCUGUCGUCAGCUCGUGUCGUGAGAUGUUGGGUUAAGUCCCGCAACGAGCGCAACCCUUGUCAUUAGUUGCUACAUUCAGUUGGGCACUCUAAUGAGACUGCCGGUGACAAACCGGAGGAAGGUGGGGAUGACGUCAAGUCCUCAUGGCCCUUAUAGGUGGGGCUACACACGUCAUACAAUGGAUGGUACAAAGGGUCGCCAACCCGCGAGGGGGAGCCAAUCCCAUAAAGCCAUUCGUAGUCCGGAUCGCAGUCUGCAACUCGACUGCGUGAAGUCGGAAUCGCUAGUAAUCGUGGAUCAGAAUGUCACGGUGAAUACGUUCCCGGGUCUU